GUUUUUAUACAGCGAUCACUCAGUAAACGCAGAAAGAAUAUAUGCCAAUAUGCCGCAUUUGCUCAUUCAUAAUGAAAAAACACAUAGCAAUCUGGCUUUCCUGAACGAGCAGCGUAGAAAAAGACUUAGGUAUAAUACAACACACGGACACACAGACAUCAUGUCCGUUCUGUUACUACCAACGUUCCCGGCUCAGAGGCGGAUCAAAUCUGACCCGCCUUUCGUGCUCAGUACCUUUUAAUACAGCGUACAAGUCAUAUUGGUGCAAUACUCCUGGAAAAUAUGCCAGUAUGAAAGCACCUUAUCUGUCCUUCUUUGUCAAAUUUAGGGGUACUAUGACACAGAUUUCCCCAGGUAAAUUGCUCAGCUAAAGUAAGCCAAAGGUGACAGCCAUGGAGUCUCCAAAACAGUAGGUCUGAUUCUGUCUCAACUCUAAGCAUGCCUGGUAGACUGACUGACACAGUAGCCUUGAUAAAGAUGCACUGUUAUUUAUUUGUUAGGUAACCCAAGGUCGAGAUUAUCUUUCACAGUUUUAUUACAGACAGACUGAUUGGCUCUAGGUAGACAGUUUUGCAUGUGGCUCUAAUGACACACAUCUCCACACAUGUAUAGAGGGGUGAUCGGUAACCUUAUUUGGACACUUAGUGAAUCUCUGAAGGUCUUGGAAAGAUAAAUAGCCCUAGAUAGUCAGUUUUGGUGUUGGCAUUCCAUGUGUUCAAACGUUGUACGCUGGCACUGAUUUCCUCGACCAGGCUCAAUAAAAUAUGCUGUUUAAGUCUUCAUCAGUCCCUGAAACUUCUUCAUGACACCUGAACCUUGCUCGCUUUAUUUCAAUAACACUUGCAACAUGAAUACAAUUUCUAUGCAUAUUUUUUCACUGGAAGUUUAUGAAUUUAAUAUGGCAUCACAUGCCUGAAAUAUUAGGGAACUCCUGCACUACGGUGUUCCUCAGAACAUGAAGUUUAGAAUGGUGGACGGUUUUGUAUCCUAGCCAUAACUAGAACAUUUUAGAAAACAGUGAGUCUGGUGAUAUUUUAUGUAGCCAACAGCUAUUGUUCUUAGUAGUUCCCAUUUUUGAAAAGAGCAAUCACAUAGAAGUUCUCUCAUCCGUGUGACUUGACUUGACAAUUUGAGUGGAGUAUCUGUUAACCAAUCAAUCUCUAUGCACAGAUUUAGACAGAAACUAGUUUUAGUGAAAUGUGGUCACUUUCUUGAGUUUAUGUUGUGUUUAAGAAGCCAAUGGUAGUGGUGAAUCAUCAGAGAACUACCAGUUUUUUCGUUGUAUCUGUAUCUUUGGCCAGCACACCACAAGUCAAACGGAAUAUUCUUAUCUAAUUAAAGGAAUAAUGCUAGUUUGUAGAAAACAGGGAAACUCAAGGGAUUAAAGGUACAGGUAAAAAACUUAACCAGAAUAACAAAAAUAUGGCCAGUACCUGGGUUAUUGUUAUAUUUAUGUAAUAUUUGUUACUUGUUAUCUGUGCAUAUAAACAUUUUUCAUGAUAUGCCUGACAUUUGGGCAAAAAUCUUACCAUAACUGGUACUACGGAAUAUUUUCUCUUUCCAGGUAUGGUGUAGAAAACAGUUUAUAUUAUUUGCUGGUAUUCAAGCAUCUGCAAGUACAGUAUGUGGCCAUGCCAAUCUGAAGGUGAUUCAGUGUUCCUGAUGUCAAGAAGACCAUCUUCAUCAAUACCACCCGAGACCGAGACACUGCCUACCUGACUCUGCCUGUCAGCCUGCCAAGCCACACCGCCCCGUACAGAACUAAGAACACCAUUACCUAGCACUCUGCCUGGAAAACCUCGCUCUCCCAAAUCAUUCAUUCCCUCUCCUGCACUGUGAUUAAUAAACCAGAUUGUGUGUUUUACA
Molecule: long non-coding RNA, 1866 nt
Organism: Micropterus salmoides (largemouth bass)
Lineage: Eukaryota; Metazoa; Chordata; Actinopteri; Centrarchiformes; Centrarchidae
Exons: 2
Source: RefSeq, a predicted model, not a curated record